AUGGACCCACCCCCCCCCAGCCCCCCAACAUUGCACUGGGCUCCCUGGGGCUCCCCCCACACCCCCGCGUGGCGUGGGGACAGCGCAGCCCCUCAGCAGCCCCCCCAAAUCCCCGGCCCCCCUCUCCCUGCUUCAGCCGGGGGCUGCAGGCGGCUGCUGACCCCGAGCCCCCCACCCAUCCCCCCCGUCCCCCCACGUUCGAUCUACCUCAAAGCCGCCGGGACAGGGGGUCCGCAGCACGGUCCCCCCUCACCGAGCCGCCCGCGCUGCAUGUCCCCCCGUGUCACAGCGCACAGCCCCACGCAAGGCCGGGGGCUCGGCCGGGCGCGCCCCCCCGCCCCACGCCGGGACCCCCGGGACCCCCGGGACCCCCGGGACCCCCGGGACGAGGGACGCGCCCUCGCUGCCGCCACCGACUCCAAUAAAACCUUCCCAGCGCCCGAAAUGCCUCGGGGGGGUGCAGGCCUCUCCUCUCUUGGGGUCCCUGGGGGAGGAGAGUGGGGGGGUCCAGCUGGGGGUGUCCCCCCGGGGAUGGGGUUGGGGUCGGGAGUGAGUUUGGGGCUCAGCUUGUGUCGCCGGGGUGGCCCUGGGGGUGACACGGGGUGGGGUGUCCUGCAGCUCCCGGAGCUUUUGGGGUCUAUCGGGCAGGUGAGUGACCCAAAAAGGGACAAUCAGAGGCAAAACAGAACUCACCGGGCUGGUGGUGACAGAAGGGACACGGCCGGAGCCGGGGUGGGGGGCGAUGGGUGGCGGGGUGGGGGGCGAUGGGUGACAGGGUGGGGGGAUUGUCCCGGUUUUCCUGGGGAAGGGGCUGGGCAGGGGGGGCUCUGUCCAUCCCUCCUCUGUGUUUUUGGAGGUCCUGCACCCCCUCCUGAGGGCUGGGGGGGUCGGGCCAGCGCUGCGGGACCCCCGGGUGGGGCAGCACCGGGCACGGAGCCCGGGCACGGACCCCGGGCACGGAGCCCCGGGCACGGAACCCCGGGCACGAAACCCCCGGGCACGGACCACCGGGAACGGAUCCCCGGGCACGGACCCCCGGGCACCGAACCCCGGGCACGGACCCCCGGCCACGGACCCCCGGGCACGGAACCCCCGGGGGGGCUGCGGGGGGGUCCCGUCCCGUCUCUCCGGGCCCAGCCCGGCCCCGGGCAGGGUGCGAGGGCGGUUCCCGGUGCCGAUGGUGUGAAGGAGAUAAGCCGCGGUGCCGCGGCCUUAUCGCCGCCCCAUCUCCGCCUCUGCCCGUGCCCGGGCAGGAAGAGCAGCCCCUGCCCACCCCCCGCGCCCCCCGGUGGGCACCGGCAGCUCCGGGGGGACCGAGGGGGAGGCAGAGCCGGGUGGGGGGGACACGGUGACCCCCCCCCGGGGUCGGGUCCCCAAACCACCCGCGUGGGGACGAGCCCCGGGGUGCGGCGGGGCUGUGACCGGGCUGUCCCCGGUUCGGACUGGGGUGGGGGCGCAGCGGGUCCUGCCCGCGCUCCGGGGGUGCCCCGGCCCCCCUUUUCUCCCUCCGCCCGCCUUUCCCCCCGGUUUUGUCUCUCUUUUUUUGAAAUCACGUGCUAA
This 1560-nucleotide long non-coding RNA is filed under the name Taeniopygia guttata (zebra finch). RNAcentral describes it as "lncRNA (ENSTGUG00000021544.1)". Lineage: Eukaryota; Metazoa; Chordata; Aves; Passeriformes; Estrildidae. The record is from RNAcentral.